Molecule: ribosomal RNA, 253 nt
Filed under: uncultured bacterium
Lineage: Bacteria
Description: partial 16S ribosomal RNA
Rfam family: Bacterial small subunit ribosomal RNA
Source: RNAcentral
UACGAAGGGGGCUAGCGUUGCUCGGAAUCACUGGGCGUAAAGCGCACGUAGGCGGAUUGCUAAGUCAGGGGUGAAAUCCUGGAGCUCAACUCCAGAACUGCCUUUGAUACUGGCGACCUUGAGUCCGGGAGAGGUGAGUGGAACUGCGAGUGUAGAGGUGAAAUUCGUAGAUAUUCGCAAGAACACCGGUGGCGAAGGCGGGUCUCUGGGCCGAUACUGACGCUGAGGAGCGAAAGCGUGGGGAGCAAACAGG